GAAGGGGGAUGCAAGCGGUAUCCGGAAUCACUGGGCGUAAAGAGUCUGUAGGAGGUGAUGCAAGUCACUGGUGAACAACUCUGGCUCAACCGGAGGAAAGCCAGUGAAACUGCAUGACUAGAGUGUGGGAGAGGUAGAAGGAAUUCCCUGAGUCCCGGUGAAAUGCGUAGAUACAGGGAAGAAAACCGGAGGCGAAAGCGUUCUACUGGAACACACCUGACACUGAGAGACGAAAGCUAGGGGAGCGGAUGGG
Molecule: ribosomal RNA, 253 nt
Filed under: uncultured bacterium
Lineage: Bacteria
Description: partial 16S ribosomal RNA
Rfam family: Bacterial small subunit ribosomal RNA
Source: RNAcentral